CAUGCAAGUCGAGCGAACGGACAAGGAGCUUGCUCCUUUGAAGUUAGCGGCGGACGGGUGAGUAACACGUGGGUAACCUACCUAUAAGACUGGAAUAACUCCGGGAAACCGGGGCUAAUGCCGGAUAACAUGUUGAACCGCAUGGUUCAACAGUGAAAGACGGUCUUGCUGUCACUUAUAGAUGGACCCGCGCCGUAUUAGCUAGUUGGUGGGGUAACGGCCUACCAAGGCGACGAUACGUAGCCGACCUGAGAGGGUGAUCGGCCACACUGGAACUGAGACACGGUCCAGACUCCUACGGGAGGCAGCAGUAGGGAAUCUUCCGCAAUGGGCGAAAGCCUGACGGAGCAACGCCGCGUGAGUGAUGAAGGUCUUCGGAUCGUAAAGCUCUGUUGUUAGGGAAGAACAAAUGUGUAAGUAACUGUGCACGUCUUGACGGUACCUAACCAGAAAGCCACGGCUAA
This 464-nucleotide ribosomal RNA is filed under the name Staphylococcus coagulans. RNAcentral describes it as "bacterial SSU rRNA". It matches the Rfam family "Bacterial small subunit ribosomal RNA", at positions 54 to 500 of the family's 1533-position model. The record is from RNAcentral. Lineage: Bacteria; Bacillati; Bacillota; Bacilli; Caryophanales; Staphylococcaceae.